CAAUAGCGUAUAUUAAAGUUGUUGCAGUUAAAAAGCUCGUAGUUGGAUCUCAGGUCCCGGCUCGCGGUUCACCUAGCGGUGCUUACUGCCCGUCCGGACCUACCCGCCGGUUGUCCCUUGGUGCUCUUCACUGAGCGGCUCGGGUGGCCGGAACGUUUACUUUGAAAAAAUUAGAGUGUUCAAAGCAGGCGGCUCGCCUGGAUAAUGGUGCAUGGAAUAAUGGAAUAGGACCUCGGUUCUAUUUUGUUGGUUUUCGGAGCUCGAGGUAAUGAUUAAGAGGGACAGACGGGGGCAUUCGUAUUACGGUGUUAGAGGUGAAAUUCUUGGAUCGCCGUAAGACGAACUACUGCGAAAGCAUUUGCCAAGAAUGUUUUCAUUGAUCAAGAACGAAAGUUAGGGGAUCGAAGACGAUUAGAUACCGU
RNAcentral lists this ribosomal RNA (422 nucleotides) under uncultured eukaryote. RNAcentral describes it as "SSU rRNA". It matches the Rfam family "Eukaryotic small subunit ribosomal RNA", at positions 592 to 1018 of the family's 1831-position model. The record is from RNAcentral.